RNAcentral lists this ribosomal RNA (200 nucleotides) under uncultured organism. RNAcentral's name for it is "partial small subunit ribosomal RNA". It matches the Rfam family "Bacterial small subunit ribosomal RNA", at positions 1183 to 1382 of the family's 1533-position model. The record is from RNAcentral.
CGUCAAGUCAGCAUGGCCUUUAUGUCCGGGGCUACACACACGCUACAAUGGCCGGUACAAUGGGUUGCAAAACCGCGAGGUGGAGCCAAUCCCCAAAGCCGGUCUCAGUUCGGAUUGCAGGCUGCAACUCGCCUGCAUGAAGCCGGAGUUGCUAGUAACCGCGCGUCAGCCAUAGUGCGGUGAAUACGUUCCCGGGCCUU